AAUAAUGUGUCUGAUUUAAGUAAUAAAUUGUAAAUUUAUUUAAAAAUAUAUUAUAUAUUUCAUUAUUA
This 68-nucleotide transfer RNA is filed under the name Therophilus festivus. RNAcentral describes it as "tRNA-Tyr". Lineage: Eukaryota; Metazoa; Arthropoda; Insecta; Hymenoptera; Braconidae. The record is from RNAcentral.